Molecule: non-coding RNA, 112 nt
Filed under: Bathycoccus prasinos
Lineage: Eukaryota; Viridiplantae; Chlorophyta; Mamiellophyceae; Mamiellales; Bathycoccaceae
Source: RNAcentral
GAUAAAAAUGAUGAUAAAAAUGAUGGGACGACGACGACGACAAAAACGAUCGCAAAAGAUGUUUCUUCUUCUUCUUUUGUUGUCGUGUGCUGUUUUUCUUCUUCUUCUUCUU